AUUGAACGCUGGCGGCAUGCCUUACACAUGCAAGUCGAACGGCAGCACGGGAGCAAUCCUGGUGGCGAGUGGCGAACGGGUGAGUAAUAUAUCGGAACGUGCCCAGUCGUGGGGAUAACGUAGCGAAAGCUACGCUAAUACCGCAUACGAUCUAUGGAUGAAAGCGGGGGAUCGCAAGACCUCGCGCGAUUGGAGCGGCCGAUAUCAGAUUAGGUAGUUGGUGAGGUAAAGGCUCACCAAGCCGACGAUCUGUAGCUGGUCUGAGAGGACGACCAGCCACACUGGGACUGAGACACGGCCCAGACUCCUACGGGAGGCAGCAGUGGGGAAUUUUGGGACAAUGGGCGCAAGCCUGAUCCAGCAAUGCCGCGUGCAGGAUGAAGGCCUUC
RNAcentral lists this ribosomal RNA (389 nucleotides) under uncultured bacterium. Its description in RNAcentral is "bacterial SSU rRNA". It matches the Rfam family "Bacterial small subunit ribosomal RNA", at positions 30 to 419 of the family's 1533-position model. The record is from RNAcentral.